Long non-coding RNA from Manihot esculenta (cassava), 274 nucleotides. RefSeq lists it as uncharacterized. The transcript has 2 exons. The record is from RefSeq and is a predicted model, not a curated record. Lineage: Eukaryota; Viridiplantae; Streptophyta; Magnoliopsida; Malpighiales; Euphorbiaceae.
GGGAAAAGUGGAAACUCUAAAGGAAAAGGGAAAGAAAAGGAAGAUUAGGAAGUUUUAAGCUUGUGAAAGAUUUUGGAAGGUUGUAGACCUCAGUAGCAAUAGAUCAAGAUCUGCAUCAACCCAGCCAGAGUCACAUCAUUAUUUAUCUUGGGUAUAUUUUGUAAAUUUUAUAUAAAGUUGAUUUUGAAAAUUUGGCAUGUACAUAAAGUUUUAGAGAUAAAGUUGUAUAUGGUUUGAAAGGGAUAUAUAUUGAAGAUUUUAAUUUUGAUGUAAA